This 77-nucleotide transfer RNA is filed under the name Candidatus Zhuqueibacterota bacterium. RNAcentral's name for it is "candidate division KSB1 bacterium tRNA-Val". It matches the Rfam family "tRNA". From Rfam's summary of the family: Transfer RNA (tRNA) molecules are approximately 80 nucleotides in length. Their secondary structure includes four short double-helical elements and three loops (D, anti-codon, and T loops). Lineage: Bacteria; Pseudomonadati. The record is from RNAcentral.
GGGCGGUUAGCUCAGUUGGUUAGAGUACUUGCUUGACAUGCAAGGGGUCACUGGUUCAAAUCCAGUACCGCCCACGA